CCAAUAGCGUAUAUUAAAGUUGUUGCAGUUAAAAAGCUCGUAGUUGAAUUUCGGGAUCAAUUUAUCAGUCGUGCCAAUGGUAUGAACUGGUACAAUUGGUUUCUCCCUUCUGAUGAAGCUCGAUGUCAUUAACUUGGUGUCAGGGGGAAUCAGGACUGUUACUUUGAAAAAAUUAGAAUGUUUAAAGCAGGCCUUGGCUUGAAUACAUUAGCAUGGAAUAAUGAAAUAGGACGUUUGAUCCUAUUUCGUUGGUUUCUAGGAUCGACGUAAUGAUUAAUAGGGAUAGUUGGGGGCAUUAGUAUUCAAUUGUCAGAGGUGAAAUUCUUGGAUUUAUUGAAGACUAACUACUGCGAAAGCAUUUGCCAAGGAUGUUUUCAUUAAUCAAGAACGAAAGGUAGGGGAUCGAAGACGAUCAGAUACCGUCGUAGUCUUAACCAUAAACUAUGCCGACUAGGGAUCGGAUGAUGUUAAUUUUUUAAUGACUCAUUUGGCGCCUUAUG
RNAcentral lists this ribosomal RNA (500 nucleotides) under uncultured Glomeromycotina. RNAcentral describes it as "partial small subunit ribosomal RNA". It matches the Rfam family "Eukaryotic small subunit ribosomal RNA", at positions 591 to 1092 of the family's 1831-position model. The record is from RNAcentral. Lineage: Eukaryota; Fungi; Glomeromycota.